This 461-nucleotide ribosomal RNA is filed under the name uncultured bacterium. Its description in RNAcentral is "partial 16S ribosomal RNA". It matches the Rfam family "Bacterial small subunit ribosomal RNA", at positions 338 to 795 of the family's 1533-position model. The record is from RNAcentral.
CCUACGUGCGGCAGCAGUGAGGAAUAUUGGUCAAUGGGCUUACGCCUGAACCAGCCAAGUCGCGUGAGGGAAGACUGCCCUAUGGGUUGUAAACCUCUUUUGUCAGGGAGCAACGCCGGCUACGUGUAGCCGGACUGAGAGUACCUGAAGAAAAAGCAUCGGCUAACUCCGUGCCAGCAGCCGCGGUAAUACGGAGGAUGCGAGCGUUAUCCGGAUUUAUUGGGUUUAAAGGGUGCGUAGGCGGAAUGCCAAGUCAGCGGUAAAAUCGCGGGGUUCAACUUCGGAAUUGCCUCUGAUACUGUUCGGCUAGAGAGUAGUUGCGGUAGGCGGAAUGUAUGGUGUAGCGGUGAAAUGCUUAGAGAUCAUACAGAACACCGAUUGCGAAGGCAGCUUACCAAGCUACUUCUGACGUUGAGGCACGAAAGCGUGGGGAGCAAACAGGAUUAGAUACCCUGGUAGUC